This 74-nucleotide transfer RNA is filed under the name Zunongwangia atlantica 22II14-10F7. It matches the Rfam family "tRNA". From Rfam's summary of the family: Transfer RNA (tRNA) molecules are approximately 80 nucleotides in length. Their secondary structure includes four short double-helical elements and three loops (D, anti-codon, and T loops). The record is from Rfam by way of RNAcentral. RNAcentral also lists the same sequence under 1 other name. Lineage: Bacteria; Pseudomonadati; Bacteroidota; Flavobacteriia; Flavobacteriales; Flavobacteriaceae.
GUGGAUGUAGCUCAGCUGGUUAGAGCGCUGGAUUGUGGUUCCAGAGGUCGCCGGUUCGAACCCGGUCUUCCACC